GCAAAAUGGCCGCCGCCACCGCUGCCACCGUCACCGCCCUCACAGCCGCUGCCCGAUCCCCCUUCGCCCGCUUCCUUUCUCGCCGCUCCUUCCUCGGCUCCUGCUCCCCUCCUGCCGCCGGCCUCCGCCUCUCUCGCUCCGCCAUCUCCCACCCCUCCGUCCGUACCAUGACCCCCGGAGCUGCACGUCUGACUGCGAUCCGUUGCAGGGUCCAACGAUCCGGCGACUCCGCCUACUCGCCCCUCAACUCCGGCACCGGGAGCUUCAGCGACCGCCCGCCGACUGAGAUGGCGCCGCUGUUCCCCGGUUGUGAUUACGAGCACUGGCUCAUCGUUAUGGAUAAGCCCGGCGGCGAGAAUGCAACGAAGAGUGAAAUGAUCGAUGUUUAUGUUAAGACCCUUGCCAAGGUUCUCGGCAGUGAGGAGGAAGCUAAACAGAAGAUAUAUAAUGUCUCUUGUGAGAGAUACUUUGGUUUUGGAUGCGAGAUUGAUGAGGAGACAUCUAACAAGCUUGAAGGUCUGCCUGGCGUUCUUUUUGUGCUCCCAGAUUCUUAUGUUGAUGCUGAGAACAAGGAUUAUGGAGCGGAGCUAUUUGUGGAUGGGCAAAUUGUUCAAAGAUCGCCAGAAAGGCAAAGAAGGGUAGAGCCGGUGCCCCAGAGAGCCCAAGACAGGCCGAGGUACAAUGACAGAACCCGCUACGUGAGGCGCAGAGAGAACCAACGUUAGAAUUCAGGUCUGGUUGAGUGAAUGAAUUGUUAGAGAUGUGGGAUCUGAUGUUAUUAUUAAGUUUGUAAGUGUCUGAGGCUUGGACUUGUUCUAUCUAUUUAUGUAAUUUGGUUCUAUCUAUUGAUGUAGGACAUAAGCUGUGUUUU
Molecule: unclassified non-coding RNA, 871 nt
Filed under: Hevea brasiliensis (rubber tree)
Lineage: Eukaryota; Viridiplantae; Streptophyta; Magnoliopsida; Malpighiales; Euphorbiaceae
Source: RNAcentral